AGCUCAAAUUUGAAAUCUGGCGUCCUCUGGGCGUCCGAGUUGUAAUUUGGAGGAGCGUCUUCGGGAGCGGCACCGUCCUAAGUUCUUUGGAACAGGACGUCACAGAGGGUGAGAAUCCCGUGCCUGGGCGGUUGACCGUUCCCAUGCGAAGUACUUCCGACGAGUCGAGUUGUUUGGGAAUGCAGCUCAAAAUGGGUGGUAAAUUUCAUCUAAAGCUAAAUAUUGGCGAGAGACCGAUAGCGCACAAGUAGAGUGAUCGAAAGAUGAAAAGCACUUUGAAAAGAGAGUUAAAAAGUACGUGAAAUUGUUGAAAGGGAAGCGCUUGAGAUCAAACUCGGCCUUUGGUGAUCCGCUGGGCUUCUGUCCGGUGAAACUUUGCCAUUGGCCGGGCCAGCAUCGGUUCUGACGGUGGGAAAAACGGCCGGGGAAUGUGGCUCCUCUCGGGGAGUGUUAUAGACCUGGCCUUUGAUACCGCCAGUUGGGACCGAGGACCGCGCUUCGGCUAGGAUGCUGGCGUAAUGGUCUUAAGCGACCCGUCUUGAAACACGGACCAAGGAGUCUAACAUCUAUGCGAGUGUUCGGGUGGAAAACCCUUGCGCGUAAUGAAAGURAACGGAGGUGGGAACCGCAAGGUGCACCAUCGACCGAUCCUGAUGUCUUCGGAAGGAUUUGAGUAUGAGCAUAGCUGUUGGGACCCGA
Molecule: ribosomal RNA, 699 nt
Filed under: Octospora mnii
Lineage: Eukaryota; Fungi; Ascomycota; Pezizomycetes; Pezizales; Pyronemataceae
Description: partial large subunit ribosomal RNA
Source: RNAcentral